This 293-nucleotide ribosomal RNA is filed under the name uncultured bacterium. RNAcentral's name for it is "partial 16S ribosomal RNA". It matches the Rfam family "Bacterial small subunit ribosomal RNA", at positions 775 to 1067 of the family's 1533-position model. The record is from RNAcentral.
GGAUUAGAUACCCUGGUAGUCCACGCUGUAAACGAUGAGUGCUAGAUGUUGGAGUUUAUCUUCAGUUUCGUAGCUAACGCAUUAAGCACUCCGCCUGGGGAGUACGAUCGCAAGAUUAAAACUCAAAGGAAUUGACGGGGGCUCGCACAAGCGGUGGAGCAUGCGGUUUAAUUCGAUGCUACGCGAAAAACCUUACCAACUCUUGACAUGGUGGUCGCGAAUCGUAGAGAUAUGAUUCUUCAGUUUGGCUGGACCACACACAGGUGCUGCAUGGCUGUCGUCAGCUCGUGCUG